This 21-nucleotide microRNA is filed under the name Picea abies (Norway spruce). RNAcentral describes it as "pab-miR11457". The record is from miRBase by way of RNAcentral. Lineage: Eukaryota; Viridiplantae; Streptophyta; Pinopsida; Pinales; Pinaceae.
CAUUAUAAUUCAAGAGCCGGC